This 432-nucleotide ribosomal RNA is filed under the name uncultured bacterium. RNAcentral's name for it is "partial 16S ribosomal RNA". It matches the Rfam family "Bacterial small subunit ribosomal RNA", at positions 29 to 507 of the family's 1533-position model. The record is from RNAcentral.
AACGAACGCUGGCGGCAUGCCUAACACAUGCAAGUCGAACGAGACCUUCGGGUCUAGUGGCGCACGGGUGCGUAACGCGUGGGAACCUGCCCUUAGGUUCGGAAUAACUCCCCGAAAGGGGUGCUAAUACCGGAUAAUGUCUUCGGACCAAAGAUUUAUCGCCUUUGGAUGGGCCCGCGUUGGAUUAGCUAGUUGGUAGGGUAAAAGCCUACCAAGGCGACGAUCCAUAGCUGGUCUGAGAGGAUGAUCAGCCACACUGGGACUGAGACACGGCCCAGACUCCUACGGGAGGCAGCAGGGGGGAAUAUGGGACAAUGGGCGAAAGCCUGAUCCAGCAAUGCCGCGUGAGUGAUGAAGGCCUUAGGGUUGUAAAGCUCUUUUACCCGGGAUGAUAAUGACAGUCCCGGGAGAAUAAGCUCCGGCUACUCCGUG